GAUCGCUGUGAUGCGGGCGGUUCGCCGCUCGUGACACUGCGAGAAGUCCAUUGAACCUUAUCAUUUAGAGGAAGGAGAAGUCGUAACAAGGUUUCCGUAGGUGAACCUGCGGAAGGAUCAUUGUCGAGAUCAAAGAACAUCGAGCGAUCUUGAGAACAUGUUAGAUUAAGCGGAGUUCUUGCCGCCAUAAAACAAUCUAUCCUUAUCAUUGACAAAUUCCAUUGUGGAUCCAGUAUGAUUAAGGAUGGAUAAACACUCAAAUCGGCGCAGUGUUGCGCCAAGGUACAAGUGAAACACGAGCCCAUAAAUGGGCUUGGUGGCAUGUAGUGCUAAUGCACGCACUUGAAUUUACACGACUCUCGGCAAUGGAUAUCUCGGCUCUUGCAUCGAUGAAGAGCGCAGCGAAAUGCGAUACGUGGUGCGAAUUGCAGAAUCCCGUGAACCAUCGAGUAUUUGAACGCAAGUUGCGCCCGAGGCCAUCUGGCUAAGGGCACGCCUACCUGGGCGUCAAGCGUUGUGUUACUCCAUGUCAUUUCCAUCCUAGUAAUGGGACGGUUGACAAAGACAUGGACGUGCAGACUGGCUCGUCGUGCCCCUUUGUGCGGCGGGCUGAAGAGCUGGUCAUCUUCUCAAGGAUGUGAGCAAUAAGAGGUGGAUUUCAACAAGGCCUAUGUUAUUGUGUCGCGUAUGCUGUAGAGAAGAUUAUACUACUUAAGGUAAUCCCAAAUCAUUCAUUGAUCAACAGAUGAUGUUUGGAAUGUGACCCCAGGAUGGGCGAGGCCACCCGCUGAGUUUAAGCAUAUCAAUAAGCGGAGGAGAAGAAACUUACGAGGAUUCCCCUAGUUUAAGCAUAUCAAUAAGCGGAGGAGAAGAAACUUACGAGGAUUCCCCUA
Molecule: ribosomal RNA, 893 nt
Filed under: Dendrobium diodon
Lineage: Eukaryota; Viridiplantae; Streptophyta; Magnoliopsida; Asparagales; Orchidaceae
Description: eukaryotic LSU rRNA
Rfam family: 5.8S ribosomal RNA (bases 355-510)
Source: RNAcentral